GAUGAACGCUGGCGGCGUGCUUAACACAUGCAAGUCGAACGGAAAGGCCCAAGCUUGCUUGGGUACUCGAGUGGCGAACGGGUGAGUAACACGUGGGUGAUCUGCCCUGCACUUCGGGAUAAGCCUGGGAAACUGGGUCUAAUACCGGAUAGGACGAUGGUUUGGAUGCCAUUGUGGAAAGUUUUUUCGGUGUGGGAUGAGCUCGCGGCCUAUCAGCUUGUUGGUGGGGUAAUGGCCUACCAAGGCGUCGACGGGUAGCCGGCCUGAGAGGGUGUACGGCCACGUUGGGACUGAGAUACGGCCCAGACUCCUACGGGAGGCAGCAGUGGGGAAUAUUGCACAAUGGGCGCAAGCCUGAUGCAGCGACGCCGCGUGGGGGAUGACGGCCUUCGGGUUGUAAACUCCUUUCGCUAGGGACGAAGCGUUUUUGUGACGGUACCUGGAGAAGAAGCACCGGCUAACUACGUG
This 468-nucleotide ribosomal RNA is filed under the name uncultured bacterium. Its description in RNAcentral is "partial 16S ribosomal RNA". It matches the Rfam family "Bacterial small subunit ribosomal RNA", at positions 28 to 507 of the family's 1533-position model. The record is from RNAcentral.